AGUGAACGCUGGCGGUAGGCCUAACACAUGCAAGUCGAACGGCAGCACAGUAAGAGCUUGCUCUUACGGGUGGCGAGUGGCGGACGGGUGAGGAAUACAUCGGAAUCUACUUUUUCGUGGGGGAUAACGUAGGGAAACUUACGCUAAUACCGCAUACGACCUACGGGUGAAAGCAGGGGAUCUUCGGACCUUGCGCGAUUGAAUGAGCCGAUGUCGGAUUAGCUAGUUGGCGGGGUAAAGGCCCACCAAGGCGACGAUCCGUAGCCGGUCUGAGAGGAUGAUCAGCCACACUGGAACUGAGACACGGUCCAGACUCCUACGGGAGGCAGCAGUGGGGAAUAUUGGACAAUGGGCGCAAGCCUGAUCCAGCCAUACCGCGUGGGUGAAGAAGGCCUUCGGGUUAUAAAGCCCUUUUGUUGGGAAAGAAAAGCAGCAGGUUAAUACCCCGCUGUUCUGACGGUACCCAAAGAAUAAGCACCGGCUAACUUCGUG
This 492-nucleotide ribosomal RNA is filed under the name uncultured bacterium. RNAcentral's name for it is "partial 16S ribosomal RNA". It matches the Rfam family "Bacterial small subunit ribosomal RNA", at positions 29 to 507 of the family's 1533-position model. The record is from RNAcentral.